Long non-coding RNA from Haemorhous mexicanus (house finch), 1548 nucleotides. RefSeq lists it as uncharacterized. Lineage: Eukaryota; Metazoa; Chordata; Aves; Passeriformes; Fringillidae. The transcript has 4 exons. The record is from RefSeq and is a predicted model, not a curated record.
ACUCAGGCACAUGCAGCAUCAUAUCCCCUGGCCUUUCCCUGGACAAAGGGGAUUUUUGCUGUCUGGGACUUGGACCCCAGGCACCAUCCUCCGAUCCCUGUGGCAGAAGUAGACAAUUGGAUUGGCAGUGCCUGGGACCACAGUGAUCCUAACAGAAAGGAUGGCAGGAUCAAGGACACCCCUGUGCAUGAACACCUCUUGACCCUGUGCACUCCCUUUGUCCAGAAAUCCCCAUGAAACACCCUCCUACCAGAGAUCUGGGGCAAGACCUGGCACAGUCCCUUUCUGCCAGGCGUCUUUCAGGCUGUGUGUGACAAUUCCAACCGGUUGAAUUGCCUAGGAAGGGAGCACUGCCAAACAUGAGGCACCAUCAGAGGUAUUAGCAGGGAGAUGGGGUUGGUUGAGAUGGGAGAAAUCCUACCCCUUCCUCAUAGAUCCUCCAAGAGGAAAACCUGAAAAUCAGGGCAACCAGCUCUGCCUCCUGUCCCUGUUGACCGGGUGUGUCAGCAGAUACUGCGUGCUCCACCCGCACAUUGUGGCAGCACCCUGAGCAGUCAGGCCCCCACACCCGCUGUCCCACACCCCCGUCUGUGGGAAGGUCACCCCUGUUCCUAGGCACUGUACCCGAGUGGGGAGCACAGUCAGGGUUCAUGGUGGGGUCAGCUGACUCACUCCAUCCCUCCCUUGACGCCGGGAGGUGUAAUCACCGCCCUCCAUAGCCUGUGUUUACUAUCCCCGUGGAACCUUUGUGCCGGCUGGGAGCCGCAUGUUGAUGUUUCUUUUGCCCAUGGUGACCGCGCGGUGUCACCUCUGCGAUGUCACCCCUGCCCGCCGCACCCCUGCUCAAAGGGGCAGGGCUCCGCUAUUUAAGGAUGCCUUACAGCCGGGAGAGCUGUGCCAAGGACGGGGAUCCCGAGUGCUGCCGGCGUUGCUUCUCCUGGGAGCUCUUCCACAGCUUGGAGACCACUGAGGAUGUGUGACCCCAACCAAGGCCCGCCACAACUGCACAUUGCAGGACGCCCUCCUGCCCCUCCAGGACAUCCUGGUCCUGGCACAGGGCCCUCCCCUGGCGGUGUGGCAGUCUGCCCCCCAGGCCCUGCUCCACCUGGCCAGCACCCCCACGGGCAACCCCCAUUGGGACAUCAUCCUCAUGGACACCAGGAGCACCAUAAGGAGCACCAUAAGGAGCACCAUAAGGGGCACCAUUAGAAGAAGCACUGCAAGCACCAUGAAGACAAGCCCUCUGGUGGCUCAUGCAGCUCAAGCAGCAGCUCAAGCAGAAGCUCUGACUGACUAAAGGUCUGGCAUCUCCCACCUGCUCCGUGGUGAUCAGCAAAACAUGAGACCAAGCUCCUCGAGGGACCCCCCUGCAUGCUACUCCUCACCCUCCCCCUUUCCCUUGGAGCAGUGUUUUGCCUGCUGAGUUAUUUUUCUUGUGUGAAAGAGCUUGUAAAUCCUUUGACCUGCAAUCUCCGAGUUAAUGGACAACAUUUCCACCCUCUAUCUUCCGUGAGAGCCUGCUGAAAGUCAUCACAUGCUGUUUUCCAA